RNAcentral lists this ribosomal RNA (1366 nucleotides) under uncultured bacterium. Its description in RNAcentral is "bacterial SSU rRNA". It matches the Rfam family "Bacterial small subunit ribosomal RNA", at positions 28 to 1396 of the family's 1533-position model. The record is from RNAcentral.
AUUGAACGCUGGCGGCAGGCCUAACACAUGCAAGUCGAGCGAACCUAGCUUGCUAGGUGAGCGGCGAACGGGUGAGUAACGCGUAGGAAUCUGCCUGGUAGUGGGGGACAACGUUCCGAAAGGAACGCUAAUACCGCAUACGCCCUACGGGGGAAAGCAGGGGAUCUUCGGACCUUGCGCUAUCAGAUGAGCCUGCGUCGGAUUAGCUAGUUGGUGGGGUAAAGGCCUACCAAGGCGACGAUCCGUAACUGGUCUGAGAGGAUGAUCAGUCACACCGGAACUGAGACACGGUCCGGACUCCUACGGGAGGCAGCAGUGGGGAAUAUUGGACAAUGGGGGCAACCCUGAUCCAGCCAUGCCGCGUGUGUGAAGAAGGCCUUCGGGUUGUAAAGCACUUUAGGUCGGGAGGAAGGUUCGCUGGCUAAUAUCCAGCGGAAUUGACGUUACCGACAGAAUAAGCACCGGCUAACUCCGUGCCAGCAGCCGCGGUAAUACGGAGGGUGCGAGCGUUAAUCGGAAUUACUGGGCGUAAAGCGCGCGUAGGCGGCUUGAUAAAUCGGGUGUGAAAUCCCUGGGCUUAACCUGGGAACUGCAUCCGACACUGUCAGGCUAGAGUGUGGGAGAGGGUGACGGAAUUCCCGGUGUAGCGGUGAAAUGCGUAGAUAUCGGGAGGAACAUCAGUGGCGAAGGCGGUUGCCUGGCCCAACACUGACGCUGAGGUGCGAAAGCGUGGGUAGCAAACAGGAUUAGAUACCCUGGUAGUCCACGCCGUAAACGAUGUCGACUAGCCGUUGGGAACCUUAGAGUUUCUUGUGGCGCAGCUAACGCGAUAAGUCGACCGCCUGGGGAGUACGGCCGCAAGGUUAAAACUCAAAUGAAUUGACGGGGGCCCGCACAAGCGGUGGAGCAUGUGGUUUAAUUCGAUGCAACGCGAAGAACCUUACCACCCCUUGACAUCCUGCGAACUUUCUAGAGAUAGAUUGGUGCCUUCGGGAGCGCAGAGACAGGUGCUGCAUGGCUGUCGUCAGCUCGUGUUGUGAAAUGUUGGGUUAAGUCCCGUAACGAGCGCAACCCUUGUCCUUAGUUGCCAGCGAGUAAUGUCGGGAACUCUAAGGAGACUGCCGGUGACAAACCGGAGGAAGGUGGGGACGACGUCAAGUCAUCAUGGCCCUUACGGGGUGGGCUACACACGUGCUACAAUGGCCGGUACAGACGGUUGCAAACCCGCGAGGGGGAGCCAAUCCGAGAAAACCGGUCGUAGUCCGGAUUGCAGUCUGCAACUCGACUGCAUGAAGUCGGAAUCGCUAGUAAUCGCGGAUCAGAAUGCCGCGGUGAAUACGUUCCCGGGCCUUGCACACACCGCCCG